This is a long non-coding RNA of Manacus vitellinus (golden-collared manakin), 443 nucleotides long. RefSeq lists it as uncharacterized. The record is from RefSeq and is a predicted model, not a curated record. The transcript is spliced from 3 exons. NCBI's taxonomy places the organism in Eukaryota, Metazoa, Chordata, Aves, Passeriformes, Pipridae.
GUGAGUCAGCCAAGGGAACCCAGCACAUUUCCCAGGGGAAAAGGCUCAGGAGAAAGACAGGCCAACCACUAAUGAGGCAUUCCCAGGAAACACAGAAGGGAGGGAGAUCAAAGUGGAGCAGCUGGAAACCAACGGCCAGAUUUUUAACACAGUUCGGAAACAGAUGAGCAUUUAACCUCCUGAGACCAAACAUAUGUUACUAUGAAGUAGCAAACUUGCGUGUUUGUUGCCCAUUUCAUGGCUGGAAGCUGAAGAUGUUUUGGCAUCACUAGUUAAAGUUUGAUAAAGCUUCCUGAGCUCAGCAUGUCCCGCUGUUGUUCGGGAGAGAUACCGGCUCAGCUGGCUGCUUUUCCAGGCAGCACUGCUCUCCCCAGGCCUCCCCCUGCAGACACCAACUUCUGUGUGAUAAGGAGAAGUUUUCAGCUCUGAACACUCAUCAAAAA